Molecule: ribosomal RNA, 253 nt
Filed under: uncultured bacterium
Lineage: Bacteria
Description: partial 16S ribosomal RNA
Rfam family: Bacterial small subunit ribosomal RNA
Source: RNAcentral
UACGAAGGUGGCAAGCGUUGUUCGGAUUCACUGGGCGUACAGGGAGCGUAGGCGGUUGGAUAAGCCCUCCGUGAAAUCUCCAGGCUUAACCUGGAAAGUGCAGAGGGGACUGUUCAGCUAGAGGAUGGGAGAGGAGCGCGGAAUUCCCGGUGUAGCGGUGAAAUGCGUAGAGAUCGGGAGGAAGGCCGGUGGCGAAGGCGGCGCUCUGGAACAUUUCUGACGCUGAGGCUCGAAAGCGUGGGGAGCAAACAGG